AACCUGCGGAGGGAUCAUUACUGAGUUUACGCUCUACAACCCUUUGUGAACAUACCUAUAACUGUUGCUUCGGCGGGUAGGGUCUCCGCGACACUCCCGGCCUCCCGCCCCCGGGCGGGUCGGCGCCCGCCGGAGGAUAACCAAACUCUGAUGUAACGACGUUUCUUCUGAGUGGUACAAGCAAAUAAUCAAAACUUUUAACAACGGAUCUCUUGGUUCUGGCAUCGAUGAAGAACGCAGCGAAAUGCGAUAAGUAAUGUGAAUUGCAGAAUUCAGUGAAUCAUCGAAUCUUUGAACGCACAUUGCGCCCGCCAGCAUUCUGGCGGGCAUGCCUGUUCGAGCGUCAUUUCAACCCUCAAGCUCUGCUUGGUGUUGGGGCCCUACAGCUGAUGUAGGCCCUCAAAGGUAGUGGCGGACCCUCCCGGAGCCUCCUUUGCGUAGUAACUUUACGUCUCGCACUGGGAUCCGGAGGGACUCUUGCCGUAAAACCCCCAAUUCUCCAAAGGUUGACCUCGGAUCAGGUAGGAAUACCCGCUGAACUUAAGCAUAUCAAUAG
This 556-nucleotide ribosomal RNA is filed under the name Colletotrichum asianum. RNAcentral's name for it is "eukaryotic LSU rRNA". The stretch from base 193 to 346 matches the Rfam family "5.8S ribosomal RNA". The record is from RNAcentral. Lineage: Eukaryota; Fungi; Ascomycota; Sordariomycetes; Glomerellales; Glomerellaceae.